CGGGGGUUGGCGCAGUGGUAGCGCGCACGCCUGGGGGGCGUGAGGUCGCCAGUUCGAGCCUGGUACCCCCGACCA
RNAcentral lists this transfer RNA (75 nucleotides) under Candidatus Saccharimonadota bacterium. RNAcentral describes it as "tRNA-Pro". It matches the Rfam family "tRNA". From Rfam's summary of the family: Transfer RNA (tRNA) molecules are approximately 80 nucleotides in length. Their secondary structure includes four short double-helical elements and three loops (D, anti-codon, and T loops). The record is from RNAcentral. Lineage: Bacteria; Candidatus Saccharimonadota.